ACACGUUUACAACUGAAGUUGCAGAGGUUAGAUUUGGGGGCGGCUAGCGACCACAGAAGAAUAGUAACAACACGUCAUCUCUGUGCUUCUUUGUCUACACUUUUGGAAAGAGUGAUGACGCCAUCGCUUUUUCCGAAAUGUAGACAAAGCAAUACCGUGAUGACGUCAUAGAGAUUUUGUUGAAUAUGUUACGAGCGUGUUUGUGUGUUCUAUCGAUUGAUCUCUGUCUAUCUUCUUAAGUCACAAGUCACAGAUGCGUGUGAUGAUGGAUCUAGAGUUCCAAGAGUAGUUAUUUAUUUUGUUUUUUGUUUAAUGGUGAAUUUUGUUGUUGAGAUACGUUUCAGAGAGAAAAUAUAACCAAAAAGAUUGAGAUUCUAGACAACUAUAUAUCGUAAAGAACAAAAUUAUGAUAUUGACUCACGGCACGGUUAAUAAACAAUGACUGUACUCUACGACGAUUGCAUCUAUAGCAAAUUUCUCGAGGUUACACUUGCACACAA
This is a long non-coding RNA of Camelina sativa (false flax), 500 nucleotides long. RefSeq lists it as uncharacterized. NCBI's taxonomy places the organism in Eukaryota, Viridiplantae, Streptophyta, Magnoliopsida, Brassicales, Brassicaceae. The record is from RefSeq and is a predicted model, not a curated record.